UAAUUAGAUUCACAAUUUUUUUCAGGUGUUUAGCUAACUGUUUUUAAUUUCUUAAAUUAAAUAAUUAAUUUGUUACUAAUUUAUUUGUUUCCAUAUGUGUUUUUUUUUUAAUUUUCAGGUAACCAAAAUCGGAAAUGUAAGCCAAAAUUGGAAAAUAAAAUGAAACCUCAUGGUAAUCCUGUAAAUAAAUUAAGUAUUUUGUGUGUGUGUGUGUGUGAUUUAUGCGACUAGAAUGAGUUUCAAUUUUAAUAAUGAGAUGAUCAUUAAAAUUCAACUGAUCUCCAAAAUUGUAUAGCACAAAAUAAAGCUGAACCCAAUUGAUAUAAGAGUGAGGUCACCUUACAUAACUAGAAUAAGUGAAGUCCAUUAAU
Molecule: long non-coding RNA, 371 nt
Filed under: Brassica napus (rape)
Lineage: Eukaryota; Viridiplantae; Streptophyta; Magnoliopsida; Brassicales; Brassicaceae
Description: long non-coding RNA (BNAP_LNC007354)
Source: RNAcentral